Long non-coding RNA from Hordeum vulgare subsp. vulgare (domesticated barley), 747 nucleotides. RefSeq lists it as uncharacterized. NCBI's taxonomy places the organism in Eukaryota, Viridiplantae, Streptophyta, Magnoliopsida, Poales, Poaceae. The transcript is spliced from 4 exons. The record is from RefSeq and is a predicted model, not a curated record.
AAAAGAAACUGAACAUGCCAUGGCAGUCCGCCGCCGUUCAUAAGCCGCCGCCGGUGAAUUCGACCGGAACAACCCUGCCACGAGCACCCCUUCCCACGCCCCUGCUUCUCUGCGGCAGACCUUCGUGGAUCCUACCAGUCUACCGCACCACCACGGCCUCCGCUCGCUCCUGCGACAUUAUCCCCAGUCCACCACAAGCGCCCCUCCAGCAAUGGCCGCACCCGCCGCCCCGGUGGGGGGUAUCUAGCCUGCGGUCGCCGGUUCGUCUGCGGGCUUAAAUCUGGUCCGGUAUGCGCAAAAACUGGCUGCCUGGAUCGAGCAGCCUCUAGUCCACUUCACUGUGAGCGACUACCAAAUCUUCCUGUUGGAGCACACAGAAAUUCUACAGUAGAGUUUGCUCUGGGGGAAGGGAGUGAUACUAAGAAUGACUGAAGUUGGCUCUUGCCAUGACGAAUGGCAGAAAUGAUAGUGGGGGAAUACUUGCACUAUUAAAGGACAGCAGAUAGAAGACACUGAAGACAAGUAUUGCCUGUGACAUGACACUGUAAUGACCGCCUGGAGUAUGGGGAAAACAGUGUUUGCAUUUUUAAAGGACGGGUAGAAGGCACUCAAGACAAGUAUUGGCAGUGACACGACGCUGUAAUGACCCCAUGGAGCAUGGUGAGUAACAGAUGAUAUCCUUUCUCCAUCUAAAAGUUUUUUUUUUCAGCAGGGAUAUGACCAGGGAGAUAUAGCACCACUUGAUGC